Molecule: ribosomal RNA, 119 nt
Organism: Pan paniscus (pygmy chimpanzee)
Lineage: Eukaryota; Metazoa; Chordata; Mammalia; Primates; Hominidae
Source: Ensembl
GUCUACGGCCAUAGCACCCUGAACACACCUGAUCUUGUCUGAUCUCACAAGCUAAGCAGGGAUUGGCCUGGUUAGUACUUAGAUGAGAGACUGCCUGGGAAUACUGGGUGCUGUAGGCU